AGUGAACGCUGGCGGCGUGCUGAACACAUGCAAGUCGAACGAGAACGGGCUAUAGCUUGCUAUAGUUGUCAGCUAAGUGGCGCACGGGUGAGUAAUGUAUAGGUAAUAUGCCUCUUACUAAGGGAUAACAAAUGGAAACGUUUGCUAAUACCUUAUACUCCUUAUUAACAGAAGUUAAUAAGGGAAAGAUUUAUUGGUAAGAGAUUAGCCUGUAUUGUAUCAGUUAGUUGGUGGGGUAAUGGCUUACCAAGACUAUGACACAUAACUGGUUUGAGAGGAUGAUCAGUCACACUGGAACUGAGACACGGUCCAGACUCCUACGGGAGGCAGCAGUGGGGAAUAUUGCACAAUGGACGAAAGUCUGAUGCAGCAACGCCGCGUGGAGGAUGACACAUUUCGGUGCGUAAACUCCUUUUAUAUGAGAAGAUAAUGACGGUAUUAUAUGAAUAAGCACCGGCUAACUCCGUGCCAGCAGCCGCUGUAA
This 484-nucleotide ribosomal RNA is filed under the name uncultured bacterium. RNAcentral describes it as "partial 16S ribosomal RNA". It matches the Rfam family "Bacterial small subunit ribosomal RNA", at positions 29 to 523 of the family's 1533-position model. The record is from RNAcentral.